UCUCCCCCCUCGUCCCCCCCGCUGGGCUUCGGCGGCUUCGGCGCGCGCGUCCAAGCGGCUCCGGCUGGAAGCGUCAGAAGACGCACGCGGCUUCCGGUGGAUGGAAUGACGCUAAAAAUCAACCGUGCGGAUGGAUAAUUUGUCCUCCUAAGAAACGCUCUUAAAUAUUACAUCGAGUGGUUAAAUCUAUGAAUUAUUCAUGUAAAUAACAAAGGAAAGGUCUGACUGUUGCUGCCUUGUCUUGAUAAAUUAUUGAUAGAAAUUUUAGACUGAUAUCAAUGUACAAAACAGGCAGUACUUUUUACACAGUACUGAUUUAUUAAAAAUAAUUCCCCCAUAAUUACAUUUACAAACUAUAAAUGUUAUGAUGAAAUAGAUUUGAUUAUCGGAUAAAGUUGUGUGAAUAAAUGUUUUAACAUAUCCUUGAAAAUUAGUUGGUGUAUAAAUAUGCUUAUUAUAUAUUUAUAUAAAAACACCCACUACACUAUUAUGCAUCUCUGUUAUACUUGCACCGUUUGCAGGUUUCAGCCUUUAUUUUGAAAACAAGAACGUUCACACACCAUUUCCGGUCUCGUUGAUAACAAAUGUUUUUGAAACAUUGUUACUUCUUGAAAGAGUAUAAACGAGAAAAAUCCCGUUGUUUUCUUUCAGGAUCACAAAUCCAGAGGACGUCAAUUCAUUGUUAUUUUGUUCAACUUUUAACCACAAAUUAAAAACUUUAUUAAUGGGCCGGAAGUUCUCACUAGCAGAAGAAAUAAGUGUUUGCUGGCAUUAGUUUCUGGACAAAUUAAGAGACACAUUGUUGCCACUAAGUACUAGAACUUAUAACAUAGAGAAACAUUUCAAAGGUGACAAUUCAACUCACAGAUCAAAGACUCGUGAUUCUUUUGCCAGUUUCUUUUUUUUUAAUCUCACAAAACACAUGAAUCUGAGACAUGAGCUCUCUUUCCCGUCUGUGCAGCUAAACAAUCUCACCGAUUUUAAAAACAAGGGAGAAGAAAAUAAUUUAUACAUCCUUUUUUUUUUUUAAUCAUAUCUACAAAAAUAAAAUCAAAUACGAGGACUAAGGCUUUACAGGAACAAAAAUAACAAAUAUAAAACAAGUGGGUCUGAUCUCUCUAUAUUACAUGAGUGACAUGUGUUUUAUUUUUUAAAAGACAAAAUAAACCAUGAGAUGAUAGUUAGACGUGUGUAUGCAUACAGUAGUUUGCAUCGUGCAGGGAAGUUUCUUUGUGCAACUCAUUUUUUUUUUUUUUUUUUUUAAGAAUCAGUUAUAGCUUCUUUUUUUCCCCCCUCUUUUUUCAAACCGCCCGUUAAGGCCGAAACGCUGACGUCAAUGUACGAGAUAAAUGCAUGAAAAGAAGAAAUCAUGGAGGAUACAAAGAGGUAGAAGUUGGAGAUGAAAAUGCUGUAGUUAAAGAGGAGGAACAUUUGACUCGUUUCAACCCCCUCAGACCAUUUUCGUCACGUAUGUGACAGCUCGGCACAUGAUGGACAAAAAAAACAAAACGAACGUCUGGUCUGAGAAGCUUGAAAAUCAGCAGCUGAAAUGUUGAGAGAAAAAAAAUGGUUCCCUUCAACGCCUCUGAAGACAUUUUUCACUUUGGUAGAAUAUUUCAGCAUUUCAGCAAAAACAUUUCCCUCAAUUUGCAUGCGAGUCUCCCCAAAGACACCCGGGCAGCGAGACACUGCCAAGCAGCACAACCCGAAGGCCACUCGGGCCCCGUCCGGGUCCCGUUAGCGUAUCCUCCGUUAGCAUUUCAAACCCGCUCAAGCGAAGUGCCAGCGGAGCUUCUUCUUGCGUUGAAAAAGCUCGCGCAGUCUAAAUGCGUUCUGGCUGCUUGGUGCUUGGGUGGAAUCACUCCACGGCGCCGCUCUCUGCCGGUCACGCGCAGCCUCUUAAGUGCGAUCCAGACGUAGUGUUUGCUGACGAGAUCCGUGCGCUCGUGUCGGUGCGUUGUGCGUAAAUCAAAGUAGUGUUGAUUUUUGCAAACAAGUACAUUUCCCAGAAUGACAAUGUCCGCUUCAACGAAACAGUUGCAUAUACGGCAGCGGUUUCUUAUUUUACUGCAGAUUGAAAUUCUUAUCAAGCUUUUGAUUCCUCCUCCGCCGGCCUCCCAUGUGGGCGACGUUGAUAUGAAAUAGGACUUCAGAAGAAGGGGAGAAGGUGGCGCGUCACAGUGAGAGGAGGCCACAGGCGGGAAAUGACCGUUCAGUGAAUAUUUCUACGUUGGGACUCUUCUUGUCGGAGCCGCUGUGCGACUCGAGGAGACGUCAGCGGGGCCGCGACUCUUCCCAAAGACCCUCGUGCUUCCUCCACCGCGAUGUGUGAAGGUCUGAGAUGAAUGAAAUGGUCACGUGUGUGUGUGUGUGUGCGUGUGUGUGAUAAUGGUUUCCUUACCCAGUGCAAAUAACCUGAAUUAUAAAGACACAGUCCUUCGGCCGUGGUGGCGAGUGAACUCAGUGUAAAGCAACCAGUGGGGGGGGGGGCCUCAAACAUCGGCUCCUAAAUAAAGUCAGUGGCAUCUCCGGUCCCUGAUUCGUUCCAGAGGGAUGCAUUGUGGGUAAAGUGCAGGGGUGACGGGUCCCUCGGAGAUUUCCUUAAAUUAAAAAUUUCAACACUUUUCCGCUUCGUUCCUUCAAACCAACAAAACAUACGACUCCUUUUCCUUCACAAACAUCCAACAAGGGUCAUUUGUUUCCCACUUUCCAUUCCUCCAACUCCCCCCUCUCCCUCCCUCCCUCCCUCCCUCCCUCCAUCUCUUCAGUCAACUUGUCUUCUUCCUCUUUUUGUUCCUUCAUGCUCUUCCCCCCUCGGCCCGUCCCGGACUCCCUGCUCCUCCUCUGGUAGGAGUCAGAGUUUGUCCUGAAAACAGCUACAGUCCGUCCCGGCCUCCGUUCCACUGGCCAGUGCAUGCGGGUGGGGGCGAGAAGGGAGGCAGUGGCCGAGGAGUCCGAGUGCUUCCCUUGCCAUCAAUGGAGAUCGAGCAACCGGCGAGUAGAAUCCUCUCCGCAGCGACGUCAGAAUCCCGUCGACUGAACUCUGGGCUCCGCCGGGCCGCCCGCUUUGCCUGGUCGGGGGGGGAGGAGGACAUGAAUAAAUGAAGCUGCGUUAUGUGAAAGUGAAUCAGCGGCCGGCGUUCGGUCGGCGCUCACCGUCCGCCGAGCCGCGAUCCAGACUCGGUGUUCUGGAGACGGUUGCCGGGCAACGCGGCUGGUCCUCCGGCUCCUCAUCGGCAAAGGGCUCUCUGAGGGUUUUUAAAAGCUUUUGAUGGGACUUCUCGAUUUCCUGUGGAGGGAACGGAAAACGACACCAGAUUUAGAAGAUACGUGAGAGAAAAGAACAGGUGGAGGGUCGGUUGUCGCUGAAAAACGAAACAAACGCACCCUCAGCUGGCGCAACUUGCUCAUCAACCCCUCGAUCGUGUGGAAAAUCUCGUCCACAUUUCUGAUCACGUGGCUCUGGGGGCCGGCCUGCGAUGGGCCCGCUUCCUCGUCCCCCUCCCGCCGCACGGCCCCCGAUUGGCCGGGCUCCUCCUCGGGGGCCGGCGUCUCCUCCUCGGGCUGCGUCCGUGGCGAUGUCCCGUCCUCCGGAGGCGGGGGGGGGACGCGAGGGCCGCUGAGGUCAUCGGUGGCGCUCUCCCCCGGCUCCGUGGGCAUGACCAAGUAGAAGGUGUUCCCUGGAGGGCAGAACGUGAGCGCGUGAGCAAUAAACAUCACACUCGACAAAUAUUUGACAUGUGAAUAAAAAAAAGAAAUAAAGUAUUUGUCUGAUAAAAGCUACAGAACCAAUUGUAGCCAUCAUUACCCUGCGUGGCGGCCUCGCCUCUCGGCUUGGAUGAUUGAUCAGCAGUGAUGUCGUCAGGGACAGAGGAAGAAGAAGAAGGACCCGCAACCACAGCUAUAGCACAAGAUAGAGGAUAGAAAAGUGUGCGUGUGUGUGUGUGUGUGUACGUGAAUUAAGGAAGCGUGAAGAAGGCGAUGAGGUGUGUUUGUGAAGAGCACCCGGACAAAAGAGAAAGAGCAGAUCGAGCGCGUGAGGAACCGAACAACGAACCACCGUGUGCAGCGGGAAACAUGCAGAGGGAGGCAGCUGUUAAAGAGCUUCACCGGGACAUCGGAGAGAACGUAGUCCUCUAAUCCAGAUGUUCAUCCAGAGGGAAACAAAAGGCGAUCCGCCCCAAAAUAAAUGCAACAUGCAAUCGGAAAUGUAGGACAGCUUGGCGGGGGAACUUUCUCCUUCUCAUCUGCUACCUUUCCGCACGACCUGAACGCUGCCGGGCGGCUCCCCGUCGGGGGGCGGAGCCUCUGCGUCGGGCUCGGCCUCCCACUCGUCGGCGCUGAAGUGGAGGACCGUCUCCAGGGACUCCGGCCGCCGCGAGCUCCUCUCGCUGGCCGUCUCGUUGGUGGGCGUGUCCCCCGAAUUGUGGCUCCAAGCGUCUCCCUCUUCCAAGUCUCUCAAUAUGAGCUGCCUUAG
This is a long non-coding RNA of Gasterosteus aculeatus aculeatus (three-spined stickleback), 4477 nucleotides long. The record is from Ensembl. Lineage: Eukaryota; Metazoa; Chordata; Actinopteri; Perciformes; Gasterosteidae.